RNAcentral lists this ribosomal RNA (211 nucleotides) under uncultured bacterium. RNAcentral describes it as "partial 16S ribosomal RNA". It matches the Rfam family "Bacterial small subunit ribosomal RNA", at positions 524 to 732 of the family's 1533-position model. The record is from RNAcentral.
UACGAAGGGGGCUAGCGUUGCUCGGAAUCACUGGGCGUAAAGCGCACGUAGGCGGAUUCCUAAGUCGGUGGUGAAAUCCUGGAGCUCAACUCCAGAACUGCCUCCGAUACUGAGAGUCGUUCGAGUCCGGGAGAGGUGAGUGGAACUGCGAGUGUAAGAGGUGAAAUUCGUAGAUAUUCGCAAGAACACCAGUGGCGAAGGCGGCUGCCAG